UUUAUUUUAUGGCAUCAUAGAAUAAUCAAAGGAGUAAUCCGCUUUGAGAUGGACCCGCGGCGCAUUAGCUAGUUGGUGAGGUAAGGGCUCACCAAGGCGACGAUGCGUAGCCGACCUGAGAGGGGGAUCGGCCACAUUGGAACUGAGACACGGUCCAGACUCCUACGGGAGGCAGCAGUGGGGAAUAUUGCGCAAUGGGGGAAACCCUGACGCAGCAACGCCGCGUGAGUGAUGAAGGUUUUCGGAUCGUAAAACUCUGUCUUUAGGGACGAUAAUGACGGUACCUAAGGAGGAAGCCACGGCUAACUACGUGCCAGCAGCCGCGGUAAUACGUAGGUGGCAAGCGUUGUCCGGAUUUACUGGGCGUAAAGAGUAUGUAGGUGGGUGCUUAAGUCAGAUGUGAAAUUCCCGGGCUUAACCUGGGCGCUGCAUUUGAAACUGGGCAUCUAGAGUGCAGGAGAGGAAAGUGGAAUUCCUAGUGUAGCGGUGAAAUGCGUAGAGAUUAGGAAGAACACCAGUGGCGAAGGCGACUUUCUGGACUGUAACUGACACUGAGAUACGAAAGCGUGGGUAGCAAACAGGAUUAGAUACCCUGGUAGUCCACGCCGUAAACGAUGAAUACUAGGUGUCGGGGGGUACCACCCUCGGUGCCGCAGCAAACGCAUUAAGUAUUCCGCCUGGGGAGUACGGUCGCAAGAUUAAAACUCAAAGGAAUUGACGGGGACCCGCACAAGCAGCGGAGCAUGUGGUUUAAUUCGAAGCAACGCGAAGAACCUUACCUAGACUUGACAUCUCCUGAAUUACUCUUAAUCGAGGAAGUCCCUUCGGGGACAGGAAGACAGGUGGUGCAUGGUUGUCGUCAGCUCGUGUCGUGAGAUGUUGGGUUAAGUCCCGCAACGAGCGCAACCCUUAUUGUUAGUUGCUACUAUUAAGUUAAGCACUCUAACGAGACUGCCGCGGUUAACGUGGAGGAAGGUGGGGAUGACGUCAAAUCAUCAUGCCCCUUAUGUCUAGGGCUACACACGUGCUACAAUGGCUGGUACAACGAGCAGCAAACCCGCGAGGGGGAGCAAAACUUGAAAGCCAGCC
RNAcentral lists this ribosomal RNA (1089 nucleotides) under Clostridium sp. K25. RNAcentral describes it as "bacterial SSU rRNA". It matches the Rfam family "Bacterial small subunit ribosomal RNA", at positions 173 to 1287 of the family's 1533-position model. The record is from RNAcentral. Lineage: Bacteria; Bacillati; Bacillota; Clostridia; Eubacteriales; Clostridiaceae.